CCAUUGUUUAGGACAACUUAUCUUGCUUCUUCUUUAUGAAGUACUAACCCCCCACAAAUAGAGUCUAGGAUUUAACAUUAGAAUAUAUUAAAGUUUGUGAGGCACCUCCUGUUUGAACCCGAUUACAAUAUAUAUAACAACUUACGUAUAAGCCCGCACACACACACAUGCACGUGCACGCUCACACACGCACACACAUAUGUUUAUAUUACAAUAUAUAUAACAAACUUACGUAUAUGCCCAC
Molecule: long non-coding RNA, 244 nt
Filed under: Elaeis guineensis (African oil palm)
Lineage: Eukaryota; Viridiplantae; Streptophyta; Magnoliopsida; Arecales; Arecaceae
Description: long non-coding RNA (EGUI_LNC026903)
Source: RNAcentral